Helianthus annuus (common sunflower) is the source of this 1253-nucleotide long non-coding RNA. RefSeq lists it as uncharacterized. The transcript has 2 exons. The record is from RefSeq and is a predicted model, not a curated record. NCBI's taxonomy places the organism in Eukaryota, Viridiplantae, Streptophyta, Magnoliopsida, Asterales, Asteraceae.
UCGCCGCCGUGAAUAUUCCAGAAAACCCUAAUUCCCAAAACCCCUGGUCUAUAUAAGAAACACCACCAUUGUUCACCCAAAUCAUCCAAACCAUUCCCGUUGGUCUUUAACGGUAACAUUUUUAAGUUCAUUGCAUCAGUUUGUAUUUUAUUUUUGUUGAACGAAUAAGAAUGGAGGUUAGCUGUAUCGAUGAUGAAAGAUGAAAGGCUUGUUUCUCAUGAACAUUCGCAGUGGCCGCCUGAUUGAACUUUCGCCUUCGCCAGGCUUGAGAGUUCAUGUUGCUCUUUCCUUCCUUCCUUGGAUGUCUGAGAUCCUCCUCUUUUUUUCUUUUCUUUUUUUUAUUUUUAUUUGUUUUGAUGUCUAUAAGAAACUGGUGAUGAUAAUGUUAAGGCUUGUUUCUCAGAAACAUUCGCAGUGGCCGACUAAGAGCUUUCGCCUUCGCCAGGCUCGAGAGCUUGUGCUGUCUUGCUCCUUCCUUCCUUGGAUGUCUGAAGUUUCAAUAUUAUACAUAAAUUAUUUAUUUAUUUAUUUAUUUAUGGAGAUUUAGUGUGGGUUUCUCAAUGAUGAUUUCAAUAGAUGACGAGUCUGAUGUAAUAUCCAUUCCAUUCAAUUAUGAAGACGAAUCGAGGCAUUUGUCUGAGAGCCAACCCAUCUAUACUGAGUCCUUUGUUUUUAAAAAAAAAAUGGCCGAUGAUAAAAUUCAAAUUAAUGACAAGCAUAUGUCUGAAUAAAUAAAUAAAUGUUGUUAAUCUUCUCCAUGAGGCCACAUUCAUUUUGAAACCGAUGAGGAUUAGAUUUGUGUUACAACAAUUUUACUGCCUUCCUUCCUUCUAAGUGAAAGCUGUGAUGCAGGUUUGACAAGAGAAAGGUCACAACUUCAUGAGAAAAUCAACUCUUGUUUGUAUAGCUAGUCGUUACCAUUUUUAACGGCUUGUUUCUCAGAGACAUUUGCAGUGGCCAAACCAAAAGCUUAGGCCUUCGCCAGGCUUGAGAGCUUGUGCUGUUUUACUCCUUGGAUGUCUGAAGUUUCAUGUAUUUGUUUUUCUUUUUAUGAACGGCCAACAAAGCAAUUUUAUUACGAAAAAAGUGGCACACUAACAAACAAAUUGGACGGCCAGAAAUGUACAAGCAAUGCAAUCGGCACAACACCUAAUUACAUAUUUCGAACAAUAGCCACCUCUCCCAUGUUAGCUAGUUUUAGAAUGAUUUUUAUCCAUAAAAAGGUCAGCGUCUUGAUGUCAUCCCUCAGCCUC